This 21-nucleotide microRNA is filed under the name Mus musculus (house mouse). Its description in RNAcentral is "mmu-miR-7011-3p". The record is from miRBase by way of RNAcentral. Lineage: Eukaryota; Metazoa; Chordata; Mammalia; Rodentia; Muridae.
UCUGCUUCCCUCCUCCUCUAG